AUGUUCUUUGCUAGCCUGGGGACACCCGACGAGACGCGCCGUACCGGGAUGACGACAAGACGACGCACU
RNAcentral lists this non-coding RNA (69 nucleotides) under Streptomyces sp. The record is from RNAcentral. Lineage: Bacteria; Bacillati; Actinomycetota; Actinomycetes; Kitasatosporales; Streptomycetaceae.